CCUACGUGAGGCAGCAGUGAGGAAUAUUGGUCAAUGGGCGAGAGCCUGAACCAGCCAAGUCGCGUGAAGGAUGAAGGAUCUAUGGUUUGUAAACUUCUUUUAUAUGGGAAUAAAGUGAGGAACGUGUUCCUUUUUGUAUGUACCAUAUGAAUAAGCAUCGGCUAACUCCGUGCCAGCAGCCGCGGUAAUACGGAGGAUGCGAGCGUUAUCCGGAUUUAUUGGGUUUAAAGGGUGCGUAGGUGGUUAAUUAAGUCAGCGGUGAAAGUUUGUGGCUCAACCAUAAAAUUGCCGUUGAAACUGGUUGACUUGAGUAUAUUUGAGGUAGGCGGAAUGCGUGGUGUAGCGGUGAAAUGCAUAGAUAUCACGCAGAACUCCGAUUGCGAAGGCAGCUUACCGGCGCCCAACUGACGCUGAAGCACGAAAGCGUGGGUUUCGAACAGGAUUAGAUACCCCUGUAGUC
RNAcentral lists this ribosomal RNA (460 nucleotides) under uncultured bacterium. RNAcentral describes it as "partial 16S ribosomal RNA". It matches the Rfam family "Bacterial small subunit ribosomal RNA", at positions 338 to 795 of the family's 1533-position model. The record is from RNAcentral.